GGCGGUUUGUCGCGUCUGCUGUGAAAGUCCGAGGCUCAACCUCGGAUCUGCAGUGGGUACGGGCAGACUAGAGUGUGGUAGGGGAGACUGGAAUUCCUGGUGUAGCGGUGGAAUGCGCAGAUAUCAGGAGGAACACCAAUGGCGAAGGCAGGUCUCUGGGCCACAACUGACGCUGAGGAGCGAAAGCGUGGGUAGCAAACAGGAUUAGAUACCCUGGUAGUCCACGCCGUAAACGAUGGGCACUAGAUGUGGGGCUCUUUCCAUGAGUUCCGCGUCGCAGCUAACGCAUUAAGUGCCCCGCCUGGGGAGUACGGCCGCAAGGCUAAAACUCAAAGGAAUUGACGGGGGCCCGCACAAGCGGCGGAGCAUGCGGAUUAAUUCGAUGCAACGCGAAGAACCUUACCAAGGCUUGACAUAUACGGUCUAUCCCUAGAGAUAGGGAGUGCUUCGGCGCCGUAUACAGGUGGUGCAUGGUUGUCGUCAGCUCGUGUCGUGAGAUGUUGGGUUAAGUCCCGCAACGAGCGCAACCCUCGUUCUAUGUUGCCAGCGCGUAAUGGCGGGGACUCAUAGGAGACUGCCGGGGUCAACUCGGAGGAAGGUGGGGAUGACGUCAAAUCAUCAUGCCCCUUAUGUCUUGGGCUUCACGCAUGCUACAAUGGCCGGUACAAAGGGCUGCGAUACCGCAAGGUGGAGCGAAUCCCAAAAAGCCGGUCUCAGUUCGGAUUGAGGUCUGCAACUCGACCUCAUGAAGUCGGAGUCGCUAGUAAUCGC
RNAcentral lists this ribosomal RNA (771 nucleotides) under uncultured Cellulomonadaceae bacterium. RNAcentral describes it as "bacterial SSU rRNA". It matches the Rfam family "Bacterial small subunit ribosomal RNA", at positions 574 to 1345 of the family's 1533-position model. The record is from RNAcentral. Lineage: Bacteria; Bacillati; Actinomycetota; Actinomycetes; Micrococcales; Cellulomonadaceae.